UACGUAGGGCGCGAGCGUUGUCCGGAAUUAUUGGGCGUAAAGAGCUCGUAGGCGGUCUGUCGCGUCGGAUGUGAAAGCCCGGGGCUUAACCCCGGGUCUGCAUUCGAUACGGGCAGACUAGAGUGUGGUAGGGGAGAUCGGAAUUCCUGGUGUAGCGGUGAAAUGCGCAGAUAUCAGGAGGAACACCGGUGGCGAAGGCGGAUCUCUGGGCCAUUACUGACGCUGAGGAGCGAAAGCGUGGGGAGCGAACAGGAUUAGAAACCCCCGUAGUCC
Molecule: ribosomal RNA, 273 nt
Filed under: uncultured bacterium
Lineage: Bacteria
Description: partial 16S ribosomal RNA
Rfam family: Bacterial small subunit ribosomal RNA
Source: RNAcentral